AACAUGAAUUUUUCUAAACGCCCCCCACAAAACAUACCAGACGUACUGAAACCGCACCAUCAGGCCCACUAACCAGUGUUUUGCAUUAGCCAAAUCAUUCUCUGUGGUGUGCACUUAGUAAAUAAGUUUGACGGACUGAUACUCUGCCGCAGAGGAAUAUGCCAGCGGACGAAAAGUUCCGCAACCCUCGAUCCAAAAUUCACGGGAGCCCUCUUCCCACUUCCCUCACGAUUGCAUCUCAUAUACUCCGUAACAGAAAAAAGGGAUUUUUGCUCACGGUCUCCCCGGCAAGAUCCAUCGGCGCCGGUCGCCAUGCGCUCCUCCCGCACCCUACUCCCCGCCUAGGGCACAAGUGCGACGUCGCCGCGCCGGCAGGGCAGCAGCUUGAUGCCACCGCGCCUGCAGGAUAGCAGCUUGACGCCUCCGCGCCGCCGCGUCGCCUUGGCCACGGCGAACGGCCCAAUCCUGCCGGACACGAUGUCCUGAACGCGCUCGUCGGCCCACUCCGCGUGGCCACCACAUCCUGCACCGACCGACGAUGCCGCGUCUUCUUCCACGAAUUAGGUAUUUAUGUUUUAUGCCGAAUUUGAAUAUAUCCUGAUGCUCUGAUGAACGACCUCUUCGUUGAGGAUGACAAUGGUUCAGAGACAACAUCUCCCCUGCCCGUGUCUGAUGCAUGUGCAGAAUAAAGUUAGACCAUUGCAACGCACGCUGUACUGACAUGUUUAGUGGAAACUAUUCAUCCAUUGGGGUUGGUGCUGCUUUGGGUCGGCAGGAAAAUGUGAAGAAGAAGCACUGACAACUUCAUUUGGUUUGGCGUGGAGGGAGAGUACAGUGCGAUGGUGAUUGAUCUUCUUGGAAAAUCCUAGAAGAUUUGUUCAACUACUGCAGUAGAAGGUUUUCUUUGAAGACUGUGCUCCACUGAUCAGAUGGAGAGAACACAGUUGCUUCUUGCUGAAUCUCUGUCCAAAUCAGUAUAUUGUCGUUUCUUACUUUAGAUGGAUUUCUUGUGUGAAUAUAUCCGUUCUUGCAAAUGUUUCAGACUAAUGAAGCCGACGACAUGCAUUCAAAGGGAAUUUCUUCAUCGUGAUAUAAAAUAAAGCCUAAUGAGGCCAAUCAGGUUUGCAUUUAUAUCUAGGUAUUUGCUAAUAAAUUCUACAAUCUUGACUCCAUCUUGUUUGAAGGCAAAUGUUGUUGAUGUGUUCCGUUACUAAAACACAGUGCCUAAAGAGUUGUGGUUUUCGUUCCUGAAAGAAGGUCCAAGAACGAACUACUAAUAAAGGAGCGAACAUGAAUUUUUCUAAACGCCCCCCACAAAACAUACCAGACGUACUGAAACCGCACCAUCAGGCCCACUAACCAGUGUUUUGCAUUAGCCAAAUCAUUCUCUGUGGUGUGCACUUAGUAAAUAAGUUUGACGGACUGAUACUCUGCCGCAGAGGAAUAUGCCAGCGGACGAAAAGUUCCGCAACCCUCGAUCCAAAAUUCACGGGAGCCCUCUUCCCACUUCCCUCACGAUUGCAUCUCAUAUACUCCGUAACAGAAAAAAGGGAUUUUUGCUCACGGUCUCCCCGGCAAGAUCCAUCGGCGCCGGUCGCCAUGCGCUCCUCCCGCACCCUACUCCCCGCCUAGGGCACAAGUGCGACGUCGCCGCGCCGGCAGGGCAGCAGCUUGAUGCCACCGCGCCUGCAGGAUAGCAGCUUGACGCCUCCGCGCCGCCGCGUCGCCUUGGCCACGGCGAACGGCCCAAUCCUGCCGGACACGAUGUCCUGAACGCGCUCGUCGGCCCACUCCGCGUGGCCACCACAUCCUGCACCGACCGACGAUGCCGCGUCUUCUUCCACGAAUUAGGUAUUUAUGUUUUAUGCCGAAUUUGAAUAUAUCCUGAUGCUCUGAUGAACGACCUCUUCGUUGAGGAUGACAAUGGUUCAGAGACAACAUCUCCCCUGCCCGUGUCUGAUGCAUGUGCAGAAUAAAGUUAGACCAUUGCAACGCACGCUGUACUGACAUGUUUAGUGGAAACUAUUCAUCCAUUGGGGUUGGUGCUGCUUUGGGUCGGCAGGAAAAUGUGAAGAAGAAGCACUGACAACUUCAUUUGGUUUGGCGUGGAGGGAGAGUACAGUGCGAUGGUGAUUGAUCUUCUUGGAAAAUCCUAGAAGAUUUGUUCAACUACUGCAGUAGAAGGUUUUCUUUGAAGACUGUGCUCCACUGAUCAGAUGGAGAGAACACAGUUGCUUCUUGCUGAAUCUCUGUCCAAAUCAGUAUAUUGUCGUUUCUUACUUUAGAUGGAUUUCUUGUGUGAAUAUAUCCGUUCUUGCAAAUGUUUCAGACUAAUGAAGCCGACGACAUGCAUUCAAAGGGAAUUUCUUCAUCGUGAUAUAAAAUAAAGCCUAAUGAGGCCAAUCAGGUUUGCAUUUAUAUCUAGGUAUUUGCUAAUAAAUUCUACAAUCUUGACUCCAUCUUGUUUGAAGGCAAAUGUUGUUGAUGUGUUCCGUUACUAAAACACAGUGCCUAAAGAGUUGUGGUUUUCGUUCCUGAAAGAAGGUCCAAGAACGAGGCUGCAGUACAGAAACAUAAAUUGACUGCUAAAUUACUGGAUACUUGGUGGAUGUUCGUAGCAACAUGUGUUUUGGAGGGCUUCAUCAGGCUUGUCCAAAUGACCUUCUCUAUACAAAGGAUUUUUUUUGUUCUAAAAUUGCGUUGUAAUGUCAUAUUUAGUCUUUUUCUUAUAUACUGUGUUAGACUAAAAUCUUUUGGCGAUGUUGCUUUCGAACAAAAACAAUUUUGCAUGAUUGAUUGUUUUUGAGGUGUCACAAGGAUGUCACGAAAACACGAGAAAUGUUUGUGGUUUGUCAAA
Lolium perenne is the source of this 2857-nucleotide non-coding RNA. Lineage: Eukaryota; Viridiplantae; Streptophyta; Magnoliopsida; Poales; Poaceae. The record is from RefSeq and is a predicted model, not a curated record.